RNAcentral lists this ribosomal RNA (429 nucleotides) under Pseudomonadota bacterium. RNAcentral's name for it is "Proteobacteria bacterium partial 16S ribosomal RNA". It matches the Rfam family "Bacterial small subunit ribosomal RNA", at positions 355 to 776 of the family's 1533-position model. The record is from RNAcentral. Lineage: Bacteria; Pseudomonadati; Pseudomonadota.
UGGGGAAUAUUGGACAAUGGGCGAAAGCCUGAUCCAGCCAUGCCGCGUGUGUGAAGAAGGUCUUCGGAUUGUAAAGCACUUUAAGUUGGGAGGAAGGGCAGUAAGCGAAUACCUUGCUGUUUUGACGUUACCGACAGAAUAAGCACCGGCUAACUCUGUGCCAGCAGCCGCGGUAAUACAGAGGGUGCAAACGUUAAUCGGAAUUACUGGGCGUAAAGCGCGCGUAGGUGGUUCGUUAAGUUGAAUGUGAAAGCCCCGGGCUCAACCUGGGAACUGCAUCCAAAACUGGCGAGCUAGAGUAGGGCAGAGGGUGGUGGAAUUUCCUGUGUAGCGGUGAAAUGCGUAGAUAUAGGAAGGAACACCAGUGGCGAAGGCGACCACCUGGGCUCAUACUGACACUGAGGUGCGAAAGCGUGGGGAGCAAACAGG